UGAAGAUAUACUUGUACAAAAUGAAAAAUCAUCACUCUGGGUAUGGUGCACCCCCCUUUUUUUUCGAUUUUUUUUUUUUUUUUUUUUUUCAAAAUUAUAAAAUUUGUUGAAAGAAAUGUGGUAUCUCAUUGUGUUUACUUGUGAACUAAGUAUUUUAAGAAUUUAAGCAUAACACAACUUCUAAAGUUGAGGGCAGCAUAUGUACCCCCUCCCUUCAAUCUUAUAUGUAAGAUUUCUCAGAAGUUUAAAAAAAAAAAUGGUAAUACGCAUAACCCGUUGUCGUGUCUAAGACUGAUGCUGUCAGUGAAAAAGAAUAAAGUUGAA
RNAcentral lists this long non-coding RNA (324 nucleotides) under Mytilus galloprovincialis (Mediterranean mussel). Lineage: Eukaryota; Metazoa; Mollusca; Bivalvia; Mytilida; Mytilidae. The record is from RNAcentral.